CAGGCCAGAAGGAUGCGUAUGCCCCAUUCUCUCAGCAGAAUGAUCAGAAUCCAUGGAGAGAGCACCAAGAAGCAGUGGGAAAAUUCGAUACGGUCUGUGGCAUGUGAGCGUACGGCCAGUGAGCAGGAACUUUGUUCAAGAGCACAUCUCUGCCCACCUGGAAUGGAUUUUUAAUCAACACCAUGGGAUGAACACACUGGUUCCAAGAAUAAGAGCAAGACAGAAAAAAAUCGAGAGAGACUUAUCCUA
This is a long non-coding RNA of Mastomys coucha (southern multimammate mouse), 249 nucleotides long. RefSeq lists it as uncharacterized. The record is from RefSeq and is a predicted model, not a curated record. The transcript is spliced from 2 exons. NCBI's taxonomy places the organism in Eukaryota, Metazoa, Chordata, Mammalia, Rodentia, Muridae.